UACAGAGGUCUCAAGCGUUGUUCGGAUUCAUUGGGCGUAAAGGGUGCGUAGGCGGCGCGGCAAGUCGGGUGUGAAAUCUCGGAGCUUAACUCCGAAACUGCAUUCGAUACUGCCGUGCUUGAGGACUGGAGAGGAGACUGGAAUUUACGGUGUAGCGGUGAAAUGCGUAGAUAUCGUAAGGAAGACCAGUGGCGAAGGCGGGUCUCUGGACAGUUCCUGACGCUGAGGCACGAAAGUCAGGGGAGCAAACAGG
RNAcentral lists this ribosomal RNA (253 nucleotides) under uncultured bacterium. Its description in RNAcentral is "partial 16S ribosomal RNA". It matches the Rfam family "Bacterial small subunit ribosomal RNA", at positions 524 to 776 of the family's 1533-position model. The record is from RNAcentral.